AUUGAACGCUGGCGGCAGGCUUAACACAUGCAAGUCGAGCGAGCGGCGGACGGGUGAGUAAUGUCUGGGAAAGUGCCUGAUGGAGGGGGAUAACUACUGGAAACGGUAGCUAAUACCGCAUACGAUUAGAUGGGACGACAUGGGCUUAGCUAGUUGGUGGGGUAAUGGCUCACCUAGGCGACGAUCCUUAGCUGGCCUGAGAGGAUGACCAGCCACACUGGAACUGAGACACGGUCCAGACUCCUACGGGAGGCAGCAGUGGGGAAUAUUGCACAAUGGGCGAAAGCCUGAUGCAGCCAUGCCGCGUGUGUGAAGAAGGCCUUCGGGUUGUAAAGCACUUUCAGCAAGGAGGCGUUACUCGAAGAAGAAGCACCGGCUAACUCCGUGCCAGCAGCCGCGGUAAUUC
Molecule: ribosomal RNA, 406 nt
Filed under: uncultured bacterium
Lineage: Bacteria
Description: partial 16S ribosomal RNA
Rfam family: Bacterial small subunit ribosomal RNA
Source: RNAcentral